GGAUAGGACCACAGAGAUACUAUCCUAGUACACAUACGAUGUGCAUGGCCCAUUGGAUGAGCCAUACUAGGAGGUUAUCACUACUUCAUCAUCUUUACUAAUGAGUAGUCAUAGUAUCGGUAUGUAUGUGAGAUACAAAUUUGAAAGACUUUGAAAGAUUAAAAGAAUUUAGAUGUAAAGUAGAAAAGGAUAAAUUAAAAAUUCUUAAAGGUACUUUGAUC
RNAcentral lists this long non-coding RNA (221 nucleotides) under Elaeis guineensis (African oil palm). RNAcentral's name for it is "long non-coding RNA (EGUI_LNC064626)". The record is from RNAcentral. Lineage: Eukaryota; Viridiplantae; Streptophyta; Magnoliopsida; Arecales; Arecaceae.